CAAACUCGAAGUUGCUGAUGUCCCUCAUCAGUCACCCGAUAGCUGGUUCGAUAGUGGAGUUUUCACGAUGACCUUUCUUGAACACUGGAGUGGAAGAUUGGCUAUGCGAAUUACAAAGGAAAAUAUUACGAAGUAUCGAAUGCUGUACACCGCGCGGCUUUGUAGUUCGGAGCAUAAUACAAAGUUUGUAGACACUAUUUCCGCCAUGCUUGGGAGUAAAUAGUAAAUGGUUGCAAGAGCAUCUUCAACAGGGAUGUAAUUUGUUGUUUCUGCUAUGCAUAAUAGCAAAGGAUAUUUUUUGAAACAGUUACUGAUUUUGUUUUUCUGGACACAUUAGCGCCAAUAUUUGCAGCUACUUGUAAUUUAAGUUAGGUUUUGAGUUGUCACUAGAAUAUUGUCAGUAAUAACAUUAGCCGAACAUUAAUUGUUUUAAAUCUGUCUGUGACUUUUUGCUAACUACU
Molecule: non-coding RNA, 461 nt
Organism: Coffea arabica (coffee)
Lineage: Eukaryota; Viridiplantae; Streptophyta; Magnoliopsida; Gentianales; Rubiaceae
Source: RefSeq, a predicted model, not a curated record